CGACGCAACCACUAUAGCGGUUGCGUUCACUCCUUCCGCCGAAAUUGCGGUUGGAGCUGUUGCUACUGGCGUCUUCUGGCAACCAUGAGCUACUGCAUGAUUCAGACAUAUUUUUCAGGGUGCCCAUGCUGCAGGUGUGCCUCAAGGCCUGGCCCGCUGAAUACGAUCGAGGAUAGAAUCGGCUGGCGGCGAGCAUGGCCCUUGGGUCCCUUUCUGGUUCUUGUCGGCUCCUGGAGACACGCAAUAGUUGUCCAGCUUGGGGAAGAAGUGAUGGGGGCUUCAGGUGCAUGUUUUCGGGUACCCAGGUGGUGCCCAGUCCACCUCAUACCAGUGUAACCCAAGUGUGGAUGGCGGCAUUAGAGAGAACCCAAUACAUUGACCUCCUAUUGUGAUGAGUGGCCAUCUUGCAUGCUCAUUUGGUAUUUUUUUCAUGUCUC
Lolium rigidum is the source of this 437-nucleotide long non-coding RNA. RefSeq lists it as uncharacterized. Lineage: Eukaryota; Viridiplantae; Streptophyta; Magnoliopsida; Poales; Poaceae. The transcript is spliced from 4 exons. The record is from RefSeq and is a predicted model, not a curated record.